GAAAUGCGAUAAGUAAUGUGAAUUGCAGAAUUCCGUGAAUCAUCGAAUCUUUGAACGCACAUUGCGCCCUCUGGUAUUCCGGGGGGCAUGCCUGUCCGAGCGUCAUUGCGAACCCCUCAAGCACGGCUUGUGUGAUGGGCCCUCCCGCGUCUUGGUCGUCAAGACGGGCCCGAAAUGCAGUGGCGGCUUCGCGGUUAUCCGAUCAGCCAGAGCGUAUGGGGACUUUCUCUCUGUCACACGCCCGCGGCGCGGACCGACGCCUGUCGACCUUUAUUCAUCUUUUUCUCGGUUGACCUCGGAUCAGGUAGGGAUCCCCGCUGAACUUAAGC
This 329-nucleotide unclassified non-coding RNA is filed under the name plant metagenome. RNAcentral describes it as "partial contains 5.8S ribosomal RNA, internal transcribed spacer 2, and large subunit ribosomal RNA". The stretch from base 1 to 105 matches the Rfam family "5.8S ribosomal RNA", at positions 50 to 154 of the family's 154-position model. The record is from RNAcentral.